CGUUAGUCGAAAAUACUGAAUAAUUAAACAAACCAAAUGGCAUCACUGGUGGUUCUUUUUUCCACUCCGCUAAACUGUCAUCUCAAACAAAAACAAAUGGAUCAUACAACUGCUAUGAAUACAUUCGACUCGUUUGCUUCCAUCAAUCGGUAAGUGAGAAAGAUGAUUUCUCCCAUCAGUGCGGAUUUCCACUUCUAUCACAGCAGCCAACAACAUCCGUUUUCCUGCAGCAGUAACCUAUAACCCCUGUUGGCAAUGCCGGGGGACAGCAUCAACAGCAGCAGCAGCAGAAUUUGACCAUGGUAUGGUAUUGCGAAGAACUUUCCCCAUUAGAGGUUCCGUGCUUCGCGCACAUUCAAAAUCCUCUUCAGACACGAAAACUCAACGACAAGGAGGUAUUUAUCAACUUGCUCAGCUGAAUUACCACCCGGAGGAACCCGAAUGCACUGAUUCCGUUGUAUAGUAGAAUGAAAAUAGGCGAGGUAAGCGAACGUAAUCGCAUGAUAUUUUAAUAGUUCGCAUUUUUAUCCGGAUCAUACAACUGCUAUGAAUACAUCCGACUCAAUCAAUCGGCGAGUGAGAAAGAUGAUUUCCCUCAUCACCACAUUGCUUAUUUCCACUUCUGUCACGCCAGCCAACAGCAUCAGCUUUCCCGCAGCAGUAUCCUUUAAGUCCAGGGUGCUAUUCCGGGGAACAGCAUCAUCAGUAAAAGCAGCAGGACCUGGCCAUCGAUAGUAUUUCGAGCAAUUUUCAUCGGAGAUCCCGUGCUUCACGCACAUUGAAGAAACCUCCUCAGCCACAUAUGUGUGUCAAGGAGAAAAAGGAGCUGGAUUCGAAUCGUCAAUCCAGACAACCCGAAUGCACCGAUUGCAUUAUAUAUCUUGUUUAUAUUUUAUAUGCAUUUUGUGUUUUUUUGAAUAAAAUGAUUAAAAUCGA
Long non-coding RNA from Toxorhynchites rutilus septentrionalis, 936 nucleotides. RefSeq lists it as uncharacterized. NCBI's taxonomy places the organism in Eukaryota, Metazoa, Arthropoda, Insecta, Diptera, Culicidae. The record is from RefSeq and is a predicted model, not a curated record. The transcript is spliced from 3 exons.